Molecule: ribosomal RNA, 653 nt
Filed under: uncultured organism
Description: bacterial SSU rRNA
Rfam family: Bacterial small subunit ribosomal RNA
Source: RNAcentral
GGCUUAGAGUUUGAUCAUGGCUCAGGAUAAACGCUGGCGGCGCACAUAAGACAUGCAAGUCGAACGGACUGAAGUUUUAGUUUACUGAUACUAAGGUUAGUGGCGGACUGGUGAGUAACGCGUAAGCAAUCUGCCUAUAAGAGGGGAAUAACAGUGAGAAAUCAUUGCUAAUACCGCAUAAGCUGUGAGAAUCGCAUGAAACAAACAGAAAAGGAGAAAUCCGCUUAUAGACGAGCUUGCGUCUGAUUAGCUAGUUGGUAAGGUAAAGGCUUACCAAGGCGAUGAUCAGUAGCCGGACUGAGAGGUUGAACGGCCACAUUGGGACUGAGAUACGGCCCAGACUCCUACGGGAGGCAGCAGUCGGGAAUAUUGCGCAAUGGAGGGAACUCUGACGCAGUGACGCCGCGUGCAGGAAGAAGGUUUUCGGAUUGUAAACUGCCUUAGACAGGGAAGAAGAAGUGACAGUACCUGUAGAAUAAGCUCCGGCUAACUACGUGCCAGCAGCCGCGGUAAUACGUAGGGAGCGAGCGUUAUCCGGAUUUAUUGGGUGUAAAGGGUGCGUAGAUGGAUAAUCAAGUUAGUUGUGAAAUACCUUGGCUUAACUGAGGAACUGCAACUAAAACUGAGUAUCUUGAGUGCUGGAGGGGAAAGCG